ACUACCUACGGGGGGCAGCAGUGAGGAAUAUUGGUCAAUGGGCGGGAGCCUGAACCAGCCAAGUCGCGUGAGGGAAGACGGUCCUACGGAUUGUAAACCUCUUUUGCCGGGGAGCAACGGGGUCCCUGCGAGGGCCCGAUGAGAGUACCCGGAGAAAAAGCAUCGGCUAACUCCGUGCCAGCAGCCGCGGUAAUACGGAGGAUGCGAGCGUUAUCCGGAUUUAUUGGGUUUAAAGGGUGCGCAGGCGGCGAGUUAAGUCAGCGGUAAAAUUUCGGGGCUCAACCCCGACAAGCCGUUGAAACUGG
This 305-nucleotide ribosomal RNA is filed under the name uncultured bacterium. RNAcentral's name for it is "bacterial SSU rRNA". It matches the Rfam family "Bacterial small subunit ribosomal RNA", at positions 335 to 636 of the family's 1533-position model. The record is from RNAcentral.